This 495-nucleotide ribosomal RNA is filed under the name Agabus guttatus. RNAcentral describes it as "SSU rRNA". It matches the Rfam family "Eukaryotic small subunit ribosomal RNA", at positions 135 to 601 of the family's 1831-position model. Lineage: Eukaryota; Metazoa; Arthropoda; Insecta; Coleoptera; Dytiscidae. The record is from RNAcentral.
UUACUUGGAUAACUGUGGUAAUUCUAGAGCUAAUACAUGCAAACAGAGUUCCGACCGGAGACGGGAGGAAUGCUUUUAUUAGAUCAAAACCAAUCGGCAGCGGGCGCGUCCGCGCGUCCGUUCGCCGCUCAACUUGGUGACUCUGAAUAACUUUCGGCUGAUCGCACGGUCUCGCACCGGCGACGCAUCUUUCAAAUGUCUGCCUUAUCAACUGUCGAUGGUAGGUUCUGCGCCUACCAUGGUCGUAACGGGUAACGGGGAAUCAGGGUUCGAUUCCGGAGAGGGAGCCUGAGAAACGGCUACCACAUCCAAGGAAGGCAGCAGGCGCGCAAAUUACCCACUCCCGGCACGGGGAGGUAGUGACGAAAAAUAACGAUACGGGACUCAUCCGAGGCCCCGUAAUCGGAAUGAGUACACUUUAAAUCCUUUAACAAGGAUCAAUUGGAGGGCAAGUCUGGUGCCAGCAGCCGCGGUAAUUCCAGCUCCAAUAGCGUA